UAUCUCUGUAGAGUCUGCAUAUCAAUAAGCGGAGGAAAAGAAACUAACUAGGAUUCCCUCAGUAACGGCGAGUGAAGCGGGAAGAGCUCAAAUUUGAAAUCUUCAAGGUUCUACCUUGACGAAUUGUAGUUUAAAGAAGUGUUUUCUGUUGGAGUUUUGGUAAAAGUUCUUUGGAAUAGGACAUCAUAGGAGGGUGAGAAUCCCGUAUUUGACCAUUACUUUCCAGCUUUGUGAUACACUUUCAAAGAGUCGGAUUGUUUGGGAAUGCAGUCCAAAAUGGGUGGUAAAUUUCAUCUAAAGCUAAAUAUUGGCGAGAGACCGAUAGCGAACAAAGUACCGUGAGGGAAAGAUGAAAAGAACUUUGAAAAGAGAGUUAAACAGUACGUGAAAUUGUCAAAAGGGAAGCGUUUGACACCAGUGUUGUUUUCUCGAAAAUCAAUUAAAAAAGGCAGGAUUUUGUGUUGUAUUGACUUUAUCAGCUUUCUGCACUCUUUUCUUGUCUUUUUAAUGCACUUUUCGUUUAACAAGUCAACAUCAAUUUCCUUUGUUGUAAAAGGGUCAUUGGAAGGUGGCUUUCUUUUCGGAGAAAGUGUUUAUAGCCUUUGGCCUCUGCAAUCGGAGAGAUUGAGGUCUGCAGCGUAGAUCCUUCGGGGUUAGAUACAUUUGUGCUAAGUUAUAGCCUUUCAUAGACAACUUGUUGACUAUGAUCAGUCAUGUAGCUUACUCGCUUAUGCUAUUUUACCUACGCUUAGGAUGUUGAAGUCAUCGUAUCGCGC
RNAcentral lists this ribosomal RNA (776 nucleotides) under uncultured Neocallimastigales. RNAcentral describes it as "partial large subunit ribosomal RNA". It matches the Rfam family "Eukaryotic large subunit ribosomal RNA", at positions 24 to 645 of the family's 3401-position model. The record is from RNAcentral. Lineage: Eukaryota; Fungi; Neocallimastigomycota; Neocallimastigomycetes; Neocallimastigales.